GGCGCUAUAGUGUAGUGGUUAUCACUCGGGAUUCUGAUCUUAUCUUCCCGAAACCCAGGUUCGAACCCUGGUAGCGCCU
Non-coding RNA from Cerrena zonata, 79 nucleotides. The record is from the annotation of a GenBank genome assembly. Lineage: Eukaryota; Fungi; Basidiomycota; Agaricomycetes; Polyporales; Cerrenaceae.